RNAcentral lists this non-coding RNA (25 nucleotides) under Rattus norvegicus (Norway rat). Lineage: Eukaryota; Metazoa; Chordata; Mammalia; Rodentia; Muridae. The record is from RNAcentral.
CUGCCCGAGAGAAAUUCUACAGCCC